This 375-nucleotide ribosomal RNA is filed under the name uncultured bacterium. RNAcentral describes it as "bacterial SSU rRNA". It matches the Rfam family "Bacterial small subunit ribosomal RNA", at positions 521 to 896 of the family's 1533-position model. The record is from RNAcentral.
UAAUACAGAGGGUGCGAGCGUUAAUCGGAGUUACUGGGCGUAAAGGGCGCGUAGGCGGUUUUAAGGGUGUGAUGUGAAAGCCCUGGGCUUAACCUGGGAAGUGCAUCGCAAACCAUAAGACUGGAGUACAAGAGAGGGUGGCGGAAUUUCCGGUGUAGCGGUGAAAUGCGUAGAGAUCGGAAGGAACGUCGAUGGCGAAGGCAGCCACCUGGCUUGAUACUGACGCUGAAGCGCGAAAGCGUGGGGAGCGAACAGGAUUAGAUACCCUGGUAGUCCACGCUGUAAACGAUGAGGACUAGAUGUUGGAAGGGGAACCUUUCAGUAUCGAAGCUAACGCGAUAAGUCUUCCGCCUGGGAAGUACGGCCGCAAGGUUG